CCCGGGCCGCAACUGCAGGAAUCGACGCUAGGACAAUCUAUGCAGGAAGAAUGAAUGGGUGAUGCUGGCAUCUUGAAAAGUUGAAGCUGAUAGACUGAAGAAUGCGGAUUACAUACCCUGAGGCUGCAGAGGAGCAGCCAAGAAGAUGGUGGAUUGAGACUGAGCAUGCCUACCACAAGCAGCUGACCAUCAUUCAAAGCAAGAAGAGGGUACUGCUAAAGGAAACUGGCAAGAAGCAGCUCCUAUGGUACUUACAAGAACAUCGGUCUAGGCUUCAAGAGGUCCAAAGAGACUAUUGAGGGCACCUACAUUGACAAGGAAUGCCUGUUCACUGGUAACGUCUCCAUCUGAGGGCAGAUCCUGUAUGGCAUGGUGACCAAGAUGGAGAUGCAGAGGACCACUGUCAUCCAGAGAAACUAUCUCCACUACAUCCGCAAGUACAAUUGCUUCGAGAAGUACCACAAGAACUUGUCCAUGCACCUGUUCCUCUGCUUCAGGAUGUCCAGAUCAGCGACAUUGUCACGUUGGAUAAGUGCCAGUCCCUGAACAAGACGGUGUACUUCAAUGUGCUCAAGGUCACCAAGGUCGCAGACAUCAAGAAGCAAUUCCAGAAGUUCUGAGGCUGAAUGUCUGCCUGCUCCCCAAAAUGAAAUAAAGUUAUUUUCUCAUUCAUAC
Molecule: long non-coding RNA, 675 nt
Filed under: Homo sapiens (human)
Lineage: Eukaryota; Metazoa; Chordata; Mammalia; Primates; Hominidae
Description: non-protein coding lnc-XPOT-4:3
Source: RNAcentral